Saccostrea cuccullata (small rock oyster) is the source of this 655-nucleotide long non-coding RNA. RefSeq lists it as uncharacterized. The transcript has 3 exons. The record is from RefSeq and is a predicted model, not a curated record. NCBI's taxonomy places the organism in Eukaryota, Metazoa, Mollusca, Bivalvia, Ostreida, Ostreidae.
GGUCUGCAUCGUUAUUUUGACGAAGUUUGAAACCAGUGAUCAGUACAUUGUGCAUGUUGUGAAAGAAUUAAACUAAACAAAGUCACGGAAAACGACGCUUUGUAUGUUAUUUUCUGCUAGGAUAUUAGAUAAGUACUUUUGAUAAUUCUGGGAUUAAAUGUUUAUGUGCGCCACUUUAUUCUGUUAAGGUGUAUGAAUCACAGGGGCUUGUCUGCCGGAUUGAUAAAUGUAAAAUAUUUUUAAAAAUUUGUAUCUACAUUAACCAUGUUAACUACACUCUAAAAGUUGCUUUAAAUUAAUAAAGAUUUUGAUCAGGCAAGAAAAAUAAUGUUGUAAGAAAAGUGCUACACUUAUCAGGGACCUAUAUAUACUAAUCUAUAUACAUGUACAUAAACUCUCAACUUUGAGAGUUUAUUUAUUUUUAUUUAUAUCAUUUUGUAUUUUAAACUGUGUCCAUUUUCAUAAAACACACGUAUAGUGAAUUCAGUAUGCAGAUUAUUGAAGGGAAAACAUCAAGACGGGGCAAGGAAGACAACAAAACAUGAUUACCCAGAUUGAGGAUCCCAGUGUUCUUUGUCUCAAGCUACUCAGCCUACCAUGAGAAAAUUAAAAGAUCUGUCAUGAAGAAGAGGCUGGUUCUCAACUUUCAUAUUAU